CGUAGUUGAAACUGUGUCCUGCGGCGUCGGUCUACCGAAUGCGGUACGACGGGCGCGUCAGCGGGGCUUCUCGCCGGUGCGCGUUCUCCGGGCUUGGGGUACUCUUCGCGAGUCUCCUCGCCGUCGGGAGGAUCCUCGCGGCUGUUUACUUUGAACAAAUUAGAGUGCUCAAAGCGGGCUUAUAUUUGCCUGAAUAUUGUGCGCAUGGAAUAAUAGAAUAGGACCUCGGUUCUGUUUUGUUGGCUUUCUGACACCAGAGGUAAUGAUUAAUAGGGACAACUGGGGGCAUUCGUAUUGCGACGUUAGAGGUGAAAUUCUUGGAUCGUCGCAAGACGGACUAAAGCGAAAGCAUUUGCCAAAGGUGUUUUCAUUAAUCAAGAACGAAAGUUAGAGGUUCGAAGGCGAUUAGAUCCCGCUGUAGUUCUAACCAUAAAUGAUGCCAGCCAGCGAUCCGCCGAAGUUUUUUACGUUGAUUCGGUGGGCAGCUCCCGGGAAACCAAAGCUUUCGGGCUCCGGGGGAGUAUGGUUGCAAAGCUGAAACUUAAAGGAAUU
RNAcentral lists this ribosomal RNA (552 nucleotides) under Asmicridea edwardsii. Its description in RNAcentral is "SSU rRNA". It matches the Rfam family "Eukaryotic small subunit ribosomal RNA", at positions 629 to 1154 of the family's 1831-position model. Lineage: Eukaryota; Metazoa; Arthropoda; Insecta; Trichoptera; Hydropsychidae. The record is from RNAcentral.